GGGCGUGUAGCUCAGUUGGUAGAGCACCACCAUGACAUGGUGGGGGUCCCGGGUUCGAGCCCCGUCGCGCCCACUA
This 76-nucleotide transfer RNA is filed under the name Ilumatobacteraceae bacterium. Its description in RNAcentral is "tRNA-Val". It matches the Rfam family "tRNA". Rfam says of the family: Transfer RNA (tRNA) molecules are approximately 80 nucleotides in length. Their secondary structure includes four short double-helical elements and three loops (D, anti-codon, and T loops). Further hydrogen bonds mediate the characteristic L-shaped molecular structure. tRNAs have two regions of fundamental functional importance: the anti-codon, which is responsible for specific mRNA codon recognition, and the 3' end, to which the tRNAs corresponding amino acid is attached (by aminoacyl-tRNA synthetases). tRNAs cope with the degeneracy of the genetic code in two manners: having more than one tRNA (with a specific anti-codon) for a particular amino acid; and 'wobble' base-pairing, i.e. permitting non-standard base-pairing at the 3rd anti-codon position. The record is from RNAcentral. Lineage: Bacteria; Bacillati; Actinomycetota; Acidimicrobiia; Acidimicrobiales; Ilumatobacteraceae.